GUACCGUGAGGGAAAGGCGAAAAGAACCCCGGCGAGGGGAGUGAAAAAGAACCUGAAACCGUGUACGUACAAGCAGUGGGAGCCCCACCACUAAGCCAGUGGUGAACUCCACAUACGCAUCCUUUGCUGAGGAUACGGUUAACGGAGCGCAAGCGACGUUCAACCUCAAAAGAAGCAGAGGGGGCUUAGUGGUGGGGUGACUGCGUACCUUUUGUAUAAUGGGUCAGCGACUUAUAUUCUGUAGCAAGGUUAACCGUAUAGGGGAGCCGGAGGGAAACCGAGUCUUAAYYGGGCGUUAAGUUGCAGGGUAUAGACCCGAAACCCGGUGAUCUAGCCAUGGGCAGG
Molecule: ribosomal RNA, 345 nt
Filed under: Salmonella enterica subsp. enterica serovar Panama
Lineage: Bacteria; Pseudomonadati; Pseudomonadota; Gammaproteobacteria; Enterobacterales; Enterobacteriaceae
Description: partial 23S ribosomal RNA
Source: RNAcentral